Molecule: long non-coding RNA, 523 nt
Organism: Phyllostomus hastatus (greater spear-nosed bat)
Lineage: Eukaryota; Metazoa; Chordata; Mammalia; Chiroptera; Phyllostomidae
Exons: 3
Source: RefSeq, a predicted model, not a curated record
CACGGACCAGGAACACCUGCAAUAGAAGGCUAGUUUGGUGUCCACGGUAACCAGCCCUCUCCCUUGUAAAGCUGGCCAAGGUUGCCUCCAUGGCUCUGGCCCUUGGAUUGUGCCCUGGCAAGGCAGGUUUGGUUUGGGAGCAUGUCUGGUGGCUCCAGACCAGAAUUGCCCUAGGAAAGGGGUCAUUGGAGCUGGGGUCCUCCCCACCAAUGCCCCCUGGGGCCCAGGGUUGGAAGGGCCCUGCUCCAGCUGCUUUACCCAGUGUAGCUUUUGGCGAUGGCUCCGCGUCAGUAAUAAAAAGUGCCUCAGCUCUGUCUCACAGAUGAACCGUGCUCCAUUGUCUGGUCCCUGCCCCUCCUGAGCCACUUCCCACUAGACGCCAGGAGCUGCGGUGCGCAUGCGUCGUUUCACUGCACCCACCAGCUGCACAGAUGUCGCCAGAUUCUUCUCACAAGGUGGAUCAGUUCACAAUCUGACCUCGGUGCCGGUUUCCUUAUACUUCUGCCACCUCAGGGUCUCAACA